UCUGUAACGAUAUUAUCCCAAAGAGCUAUCCGAAACUUGUAUCGAUACUUGAUAUUAUAGGACAUCCAACUCCUCCAAAUCCUGAAUCUGUGAAUUCACUUGCGCAGAGAGAGAGAGAGAGAGAAGAGAUGGCUCAGAUUAGUGCUUGUUCUCUAAUCAGUCCCAUGGAAUCUGCUAAUUACCGGAAAGGUAAUCUUCUCUCUCCACCCUACCAUUCAUCUUUUCCCCUUCAUUCUCAUUCCCGCACUAUAAACCCAAGAAGUUCUACUCCUUCUGCGACCAUCAUCAGCCAAGCAAAACGCCAACCCAAUUUUGAAAGAGAAAUGCUUCGGAAAGAAAAACCCAGGUCGAGGGAUCUAAGGGUGGAGCAAGGUGUUCCAACCAUUGUCAAAAUCAGUAAGGCGUUGACGAUUACUAUGAAAAAGGGUAAGUACAGCACGGCUCUUUCUCGUUUCAUCAAGUUGCAGUUACAAGGCAUUGAGCUCGAUUUGUAUACCUUCAGCAUUGCAAUUAACUGUUACUGUCACGUGAAUCGAGUUGGGUUUGGGUUCUCACUUUUAGGCAGCAUCUUUAAAAGCGGUUACACGCCAGAUGGAGUUAUCUUCGGCACCCUGUUAAAUGGACUUAUUGCGCAAGAUAAAGUUGCUGAGGCUCUUUCUCAUUUAAACAAGUUGCAGUUACAUGACAUUGAGCUAAAUUUGUAUAUCUUCAACAUGGCAAUUAACUGCUACUGUCGCGUGAAUCGAGUUGGCUUUGGGUUCUCGCUUCUAGGCAGCAUCUUCAAACACGGUUACACGCCUAAUGAAGUUAUAUUCUCCACUCUGUUAAAUGGACUUAUUGCACAAGAUAAAACUGUGGAGGCCGUGGAGUUAUUUGAGAAAAUAGUCAAAAAGGGUGAAAUCAAACCCGAUGUGACGAUAUGGAUCGUUAAUAAAUAGGCUUUGCAAAAUGGGAAACACGGGAGCGGCUAUUGGUUUUCUGAGGAUUGCGGAAGAAGGAGGUUUAAAACCUAACACCAUGGCAUAUAGCAUGAUCAUUGACCGUCUUGGCAAGGAUGGGAUGGUGGAUGCCGCUGUCAACUUGUUAGUAGAAAUGAAAAGCAAAGUUAUUCAUGCAAAUGUUGUCACCUAUACAUCCUUGAUUGAUGGCCUAUGCAAACAUGGCAAGUGGAAGGAGGCUACAAGAAUGCUAAUGGAAAUGGCAGAUGGUCGUAUUUCACCAAAUGUUCAUACAUUAACUGUGUUGGUCAAUGCACUUAGCAAGCAAGGGAUGACAAAGGAAGCAGAGGAGUUACUUGACAGCAUGGAAGGAAGAGGUGUGUAUCCUAAUGUAUUCACAUACACUAGACUCAUGGAGGGAUAUAGUCUGCAAGGCCGGAUGGACGAAGCAAUGAGAUUGCUAAAUGCCAUGGUGGAUAAGGGCAUUCAUCCUAACACUCAUUGUUAUACCAUUUUGAUCAACGGAAAUUGCAAGAACAUGAAAUUAGACGAGGCCGUGCAACUCUUCCGAGAAAUGCCUCUACUAGGUUUGAAACGUAACGUUGUUACUUUCACAACUAUAUUGAACGGUAUGGUUCAGAUAGGUAGAUAUACUGCUACUCAAGAAAUUCUUAAUGAGAUGAAAGCUGCUUGCCUAACUCCUGAUACUAAAACUUGUGGUCUCCUGUUGGACGGCCUUUGUCAAAGUGGGCAUAUUGAUGAAGCAAUGUUCUUAUUUCACAUGAUGGAAAAAGGGGUUUAGGGCUCGAUAUUGUUAAGUACAAUGUGCUUGUUGAUGCGUAUUUCAAGAAUAAAACACUUGAUAAUGCAAGGGAUGUUUUCACUAUACUGCCUUCCAAAGGGUCAUGUCCUGAUGAUAGGACCUCCUUGAUAUGAUUCAAUGUCUUUUGAGGAAGGCCUCCUUGAUGAAGGUGCCUGCGGAAUGAUGUCUCUUACACGUUGGCAUUCAGGGAUUUCUUAAACAUAUGAAGUCCUUUGAGGCCUUUUUACUCCCUGAGGAAAUGAUUGGAAAGUGGGGUUUUGCCAAAUGCAUCUACUGUUUCCUUGACUGCGGAAUUAAUCAACUAAAGGACUAGACCGCGCUUAAUAAGUGAUAAAGAAGUUUGCACCAAGGAGUAGACAAUCAGCAAGACUUUGAGUUAAGAAGGUUAAGCGGUGAAGGUACACUUACAUCUAUAUUUAGCAGAAAACAUAGCCAGUAUUGUGGUUAACUAUUAAAUGUUUUCCUUACUGAUCUCUUAUUUAAAUGUGAGAAAACCGAUGGCUGUUCUCUGUGCACCAGACAUGUAGCUUACCGAAUCAGUUGUGACACGGAUGGGAAUGAAUGCUACGAAGGCUAGGGUCGAGAGGUGUCAAACCAGAAAGAAAGAUACUGGUCAUCCCUUAAUAGAUGCCUAAAGGGCACAAAACCAAAACAAGAGAUAGAGCUGGGGUUAAAGAUGGCACGGUUUCCGCUUUCCCAGUUUGGUUUGGUCAGAUAGUCUACUUCGUUUAUCCCGAAGCAAAUGAAGCAUCCGAGCAAGCAUCCCCUACAGGCCGAGAUACAUAGCGCCUAUCUCUAUUAUCCCAUGAUGAUGCGUAUUUCUGCGUAGCAGACUACUUGUACAUAUAUGUACAUAUGAUAAAAUAGGACUGUUUUUGAAAAUAUGUAGAAAAUUCAUUGGUUUAGAUUUAAUUUGUCCUAAAUUGAUGGAGCAUAUAGAUUUUCACAUGUCCAUCAAGUGUUUUGAUUGAGAUUCAUUUCAACAACGACCAGGAUUUACACAACUCAAGUUUUGCCUUCCGAUAGGCCGUUGUAAAACCCCCAUGUCGAUCCCAUUCCUAUCACAAACCCACCUCUUUGGUCUCUUCCUCUCUCUCUCUCCAAAUGAACCUCUUUCUUUCCAGUUGUUUUUCUCUGGAUUGCUUUACUCCAUGGCUCAUUCCAUCCCACCCACAUUAAUUUCUCUCUAUAAUUGGAGUUUGACCCCCCAAUCCCAACAUUUCACACCUUCCUUCUGUAAGGAUUGAGAAUCCCUACAGUAUUGUGUAGAUUUCUGGCGAUGUCCAGCGGCGGUGAUUGCUCUUGAUAACACGACUUCCUACAAAAAGUUGCAACUGUCUAUUUCUUGAAGACUUGAACUGAUGAUCUAUCAUUUGAUGCGUCAUAGACGGUACUAGUAUGAGCCACCACUAGGCCCAUCAUACUGGUCAGGUUUGAUUCUCACUUUUGGCAUCAAGUACACUGUCUUAGGCUUCGAUAAUUAUUUAUUUCUAUGCUUUAUUCCAUAUAGUGGACUAACGUCUUGAGUCUUUACCCAUCCUGUUGGGCAUUUAAAUAGAAAUCGUGGUCUUCAAUUUUUAUGUAUCAAAAUAGUGCCCAUAUUGAUAAAUGAUAAUGAUACAUGACAUUUCGCAAAUGGAACCUUCAUUGCGCCUCUCUGACUCUGUUAUAUCAUAGUAGAAUCCUUGCUCUAAAACUUAUAUAGUUAUAUCCUUGUUUAUCUUUGCAUUUACAUGAACUAUACCAUCUAUUAUUGAUUUAUAAACUGGUGUACGAAAUGAUUUAUCUAUUUACUUUUGAACUUAUGCUGAUUAAAGAGCAUGCGUUUCGGUGCACACCGAUUAUCUACCCGAACUUGUAAUUCCAUUCAAGAACAUAUUGCGCCAAUCUAAUCGUCCUCUCUCUUUCUUUUUCUUUUUUGUUGACGUGGCUGUUCUGGAACUUACAAUUUUUUAUAGAAAAUAUUUGAACUUUAUAAUUCAGAAGUUUAACUUUUGAAGGUAGAGACUAGAAAUUCACAAUCGCGUUUGAAGAUAAUAUUCUAAGGGUGUAAAGUGUUUCUUGUCCUUCAAAACUUGAGCAAGCAUAUCUACCUAUCUAUCUAUACAUCUAAUAAAAAACAGAACUGUUUGCCUACUUUUUAUGGCUGAAAGUUCCCAAGUUAUUAGGAGGAGACAACAAUAUCUAACCUUUGCAAACUGUUGUUUCUGGUUUAGAUAGAUAGAUAUGCUGUUGCCCAAAAGAUUCUUAAUGAGAUGCAAGCUGCCAGCCUAAUCCCGAACUAAAACUUGUGGUCUCUUGGUGGACGGCCUUUGCCAAGGCGGGUAUAUCGAUGAAGCAAUGUUCUUGUUUCACAUGACGAAAAAAGUACUGUUAAGUACAAUAUCCUUUUUGAUGCAUAUUGCAAGAAUAAAACACUUGAUAAUUCAAGGGAUCUUUUCACUGUACUGCCUCCCAAAGCGUCAUGUCCUGGUGAUAGGACCUCAUUGCUAUGAUUCAAAGUCUUUUGUGGAAGUUGUUGCCUGAGGAAUGAUGUCUCUUAGAUAAUAUCCUUCUGGGAGAUUUCAUCGACCUUUUGGCUUUUUUAGUCCUUGAUAUGAUUAGAAGGGGGUUAUUUUGCCAAAUGCAUCUACUGUUUCCUUGAUUGUGGAUUUGACCUUAACAAGAGGACUAGACCGUUCUCUCAAAGCUGUGGAAGAAAUUUGUGGAAAAGAAUAGACAAUUACCGAAUGUACUUGAGUGAAAAUGGUUAAGCCGUGGAGGUACACCUACAAAUAUUGCCGUUAUAAUGUUGAACUCUUAUGUGUUUUCCUUAUUGGUCUCUUAUGUAUGUGUGCGUAGCGGAAUAUAUAUGUAUGGAAGUUUUGACUGAUCUCCUAGCAUUAACUAUUAAGUUUGAAGCCGUAACACUACUUUUCUAUGGAAGCCUGUAAUGUGUGUUGUUUCUCCUUAGCUUUUUGGGCUUUUUUGGCGUUUUGUCUUAUUCAAAAAAAAAAAUUGCGUUUAUUAGUUUUUCGCCAAAGCCAUUACCACUACCCCAAAGGUACACUAGAGAAAUGUUGCACUAAUGGCAUAGAGGUUGUUUUCUAGAUAAAACUCGGAUCAGAAAAGUUAAAUUUUGUUACUUUUACCCAAAUAUUUUUGGAAAUAUUCAGGAUAAAGGCCAAAAAAUAAGAGGAACGGGGUAAGUGAAACCCUUAUAUAGGUGGGUUUUAUUGCUGGAAAAUAUCCUUCUUCACUAGGUUGCACAUUGCUUUUUGCAUACAAUAGUAGUAUAAAUCAAAAGCAUGUUUGAAUGUGUUCAUGCAUUUGAGGGUCCGAUUGAUAUUUAAAACAUUAAGCACAGUCUUGUAUGUAAAUGUUUCAAUCUGUAAGUAUGUACAACAACAACAACAGAAUCCAUGUUGUCCCCAAUCAUUGGAGGUAUGGGCAGGGGAGGAUUGGAGACAGACCUAACCUUUGGCAAUAUGCACAAAGUGGUUGCUCUCAGAAUACCACUGAACAGUAGCCCCCCCAAUACCUGUUUUGCUGCGAGACCAUGCCCACUAAUCAAAGCCAAAUAGCAUCAGAGAGGGCUUGUAAGUAUGUAAAAUGUAUUUUCUCGCUUUAGUUUUUUUAGUAACGUUAAUUGUUGUUUACUGGUAUAUUCAUGCGAAUGUCUUCCCUGUUUUAGAUAAUAUGGUGCUGGAUAGUGUAUGAGCUGAUUUCUAUUGUUUGAAUCAACACAAUGGAAUUUAUAUGCAAAACACUAUCCCUUGAGUGGCUAAGAGUAGAGAGCUGAGAGGCAUUUAGCCCAAAGUAUGAAAUUCAGGAAUGAGAAAACAAUAGAAGGUUUGUUUUGUGCCUUAUGUUGACCAACAUACUAAUGACUCUUGCAGCACAAGUUUCCUUGUCCGGGCGACCUAGAAACUUGACAAUGAUCAGACUGCAAAAUGGCGAUUUCUCUUAGUGUGUCUGAGCUGGUUCCUCCUUGCGAAGUCUUCCCAGUGGUGAUGGAUAUUCAGGAACUCAGUUGACAGGGGAACAUCAAGUUGGAAUGUGUAAGGAGAUCUGCUAACAAGGUGGCUUCUCUAGCAGCAAAAAGGAGGCUUCCUCGGUACUGGGUAUCUAAUCCCCCCUCCUCUUUAGUCAGUUUAGUACUUUCUGAUGUGUCCUUGUCAUCUUUGUAGCCCUUUGGACAGUUUUGACCGAUCAAAAAAAAAAAGAAAAAGAAAAGACUCUUUGAAGCCUUUUCUCGGAGUAUUGUAAUUCACAUUUUCCAAAUGGGAGUCGUUUACUCGUAUUUUUCAAUGAAGGGGGUUUGACUUCUUGAGAAAUCACAACCAC
RNA transcript from Rhododendron vialii, 6087 nucleotides. It is a transcript of the gene named pentatricopeptide repeat-containing protein At1g12775, mitochondrial-like, with no coding region annotated. The transcript is spliced from 2 exons. NCBI's taxonomy places the organism in Eukaryota, Viridiplantae, Streptophyta, Magnoliopsida, Ericales, Ericaceae. The record is from RefSeq and is a predicted model, not a curated record.